Molecule: small nucleolar RNA, 122 nt
Filed under: Echinops telfairi (small Madagascar hedgehog)
Lineage: Eukaryota; Metazoa; Chordata; Mammalia; Afrosoricida; Tenrecidae
Description: Small nucleolar RNA SNORA61 (ENSETEG00000024980.1)
Source: RNAcentral
UCCCUUCAGAUUCCUUAGAUCUUGCACCUAAAUACUGAUCUAUGUGCCUUGGUAAAGGAGGAAAAGUAAAACUGAAACGGACUUGGAAUUUUUACUUACAAACAAGUUCAUUUCAAACAUAA